RNAcentral lists this ribosomal RNA (904 nucleotides) under uncultured Acidobacteriota bacterium. RNAcentral describes it as "bacterial SSU rRNA". It matches the Rfam family "Bacterial small subunit ribosomal RNA", at positions 8 to 888 of the family's 1533-position model. Lineage: Bacteria; Pseudomonadati; Acidobacteriota. The record is from RNAcentral.
AGGGUUUGAUCAUGGCUCAGAAUCAACGCUGGCGGCGUGCCUAACACAUGCAAGUCGAACGCGAAAGGGGCUUCGGCCCUGAGUAGAGUGGCGAACGGGUGAGUAACACGUGGGUGACCUACCCUCGAGUGGGGGAUAACAUCCCGAAAGGGGUGCUAAUACCGCAUGACAUCCUGCCUUUGAACAGGCGGAUAUUAAAGCCGGGGAUCGCAAGACCUGGCGCUUGAGGAGGGGCUCGCGUCCGAUUAGCUAGUUGGUGGGGUAACGGCCUACCAAGGCGACGAUCGGUAGCCGGCCUGAGAGGGCGGACGGCCACACUGGGACUGAGACACGGCCCAGACUCCUACGGGAGGCAGCAGUGGGGAAUUGUUCGCAAUGGGCGCAAGCCUGACGACGCAACGCCGCGUGGAGGACGAAGAUCUUCGGGUCGUAAACUCCUUUCGAUCGGGACGAAUGGCCGGUGACCUAACACGUCAUCGGAGUGACGGUACCGAGAGAAGAAGCCCCGGCUAACUCCGUGCCAGCAGCCGCGGUAAUACGGGGGGGGCAAGCGUUGUUCGGAAUUACUGGGCGUAAAGGGCGCGUAGGCGGCCUACUAAGUCGGACGUGAAAUCCCUCGGCUCAACCGAGGAACUGCGUCCGAUACUGGCAGGCUGGAAUCCGGGAGAGGGAUGUGGAAUUCCAGGUGUAGCGGUGAAAUGCGUAGAUAUCUGGAGGAACACCGGUGGCGAAGGCGGCAUCCUGGACCGGUAUUGACGCUGAGGCGCGAAAGCUAGGGGAGCAAACGGGGAUUAGAUACCCCGGUAGUCCUAGCCCUAACGAUGAGUGCUUGGUGUGGCCGGGUAUCGAUCCCUGCCGUGCCGAAGCUAACCGCAUUAAGCACUCCGCCUGGGAAGUACGGUCG